Molecule: long non-coding RNA, 600 nt
Organism: Pieris brassicae (large cabbage white)
Lineage: Eukaryota; Metazoa; Arthropoda; Insecta; Lepidoptera; Pieridae
Exons: 3
Source: RefSeq, a predicted model, not a curated record
CGGUUUGAUGAAUUCAAAUUGCUUUUAUCGAAAUAUAUGAACCCUAAAAUCGUUAUUUCAUUCACUUUAGCCCCAGAGAAGGUGAGCAACAACAUAAAGUGAAUGCUUUGUUAUUGAACAUACAACGUAAAAACGUUAAUGAUUCCUAUUUUAAAUAUGUCAGUCACCGGAACGGAGAUCUGUCAAUGUGAUAUUAACAAAAACAUUUACUUUUAUUAACAUUUUGGUAAAUAGCAUUAUUUCAUAAUUUAACAUGAAACAAUAAAUUGAAGCUCGACGUCAAGUGUUAUUUAUACAUUGUACGAAGUCUAGAAUCAAGACAUGUCAAUUUUCUUUCAUUAUUUUGCAUAGCAUUACCUAAUAUUAUAUUCUUUAAGGACUGGGAAUAAAGAUUUAUUAACACAAUUUUUUGUCAUAAUUAUCACAUUUCCAUUGAUGGCUAAGAUAUGAGUAUAAAAAAAUAAAAGGUAGAAGAGCCUUAUUUAAAUGGCAAAAAGAUUAUAAUAUUCUUAUAGUAACAGUCUAUUUCGAUUAAUCGAAAUUGUCAAAGAAAUACGAUCGCACAGGAAAUAAGCUUCGAGAGGAGAUUGCUUGCCACGA